GGAAGCGUGCUAGAGAGGUUGAAUAGGCCGCACUCGAAAUGCGGUAUGCCCGCAAGGGCAUCGGAGGUUCGAAUCCUCCCGCUUCCG
This 87-nucleotide transfer RNA is filed under the name bacterium. RNAcentral's name for it is "tRNA-Ser". It matches the Rfam family "tRNA". From Rfam's summary of the family: Transfer RNA (tRNA) molecules are approximately 80 nucleotides in length. The record is from RNAcentral.